Molecule: non-coding RNA, 198 nt
Organism: Podarcis lilfordi (Lilford's wall lizard)
Lineage: Eukaryota; Metazoa; Chordata; Lepidosauria; Squamata; Lacertidae
Source: the annotation of a GenBank genome assembly
CAGCGCCUCUCCUUCACAGGAGAGGUGCUGCACAGAGAGGGAGAAGGCGCAGCGCCCCUUCAGCGAAGCUGGAGAAGGAACAGAAGGGUCUCCUUCUGUUCCUCCCCCGGCUUCGCUUGAUAGGCGCGUUGCUCAAGGGGCGCUGCGCCUUCUCUCUCUCUGCGCAGCGCCUCUCCGCGCAGAGAGGGAGAAGGCGCA